GACGAACGCUGGCGGCGUGCUUAACUCAUGCAAGUCGAACGGAAAGGCCCUGCUUUUGUGGGGUGCUCGAGUGGCGAACGGGUGAGUAACACGUGACUAACCUGCCCUUGACUUUGGGAUAACUUCAGGAAACUGGGGCUAAUACCGGAUAGGAGCUCCUGCUGCAUGGUGGGGGUUGGAAAGUUUCGGCGGUUGGGGAUGGACUCGCGGCUUAUCAGCUUGUUGGUGGGGUAGUGGCUUACCAAGGCUUUGACGGGUAGCCGGCCUGAGAGGGUGACCGGCCACAUUGGGACUGAGAUACGGACCAGACUCCUACGGGAGGCAGCAGUGGGGAAUAUUGCACAAUGGGCGGAAGCCUGAUGCAGCAACGCCGCGUGCGGGAUGACGGCCUUCGGGUUGUAAACCGCUUUCGCCUGUGACGAAGCGUGAGUGACGGUAAUGGGUAAAGAAGCACCGGCUAACUACGUG
This 468-nucleotide ribosomal RNA is filed under the name uncultured bacterium. Its description in RNAcentral is "partial 16S ribosomal RNA". It matches the Rfam family "Bacterial small subunit ribosomal RNA", at positions 28 to 507 of the family's 1533-position model. The record is from RNAcentral.